UCCUACGGGACGCAGCAGUGAGGAAUAUUGGUCAAUGGGCGGGAGCCUGAACCAGCCAAGUCGCGUGAGGGACGACGGUCCUAUGGAUUGUAAACCUCUUUUGUCGGGGAACAAAGGCGCCCACGGGUGGGCGGAUGAGUGUACCCGAAGAAAAAGCAUCGGCUAACUCCGUGCCAGCAGCCGCGGUAAUACGGAGGAUGCGAGCGUUAUCCGGAUUUAUUGGGUUUAAAGGGUGCGUAGGCGGGACGGUAAGUCAGCGGUAAAAAUGCGGAGCUCAACUCCGUCGAGCCGUUGAAACUGCCGUU
RNAcentral lists this ribosomal RNA (305 nucleotides) under uncultured bacterium. RNAcentral's name for it is "bacterial SSU rRNA". It matches the Rfam family "Bacterial small subunit ribosomal RNA", at positions 337 to 640 of the family's 1533-position model. The record is from RNAcentral.